This 497-nucleotide ribosomal RNA is filed under the name uncultured bacterium. RNAcentral's name for it is "partial 16S ribosomal RNA". It matches the Rfam family "Bacterial small subunit ribosomal RNA", at positions 28 to 507 of the family's 1533-position model. The record is from RNAcentral.
GAUGAACGCUGGCGGCGUGCCUAAUACAUGCAAGUCGAGCGAACAGACGAGGAGCUUGCUCCUCUGACGUUAGCGGCGGACGGGUGAGUAACACGUGGAUAACCUACCUAUAAGACUGGGAUCACUUCGGGAAACCGGAGCUAAUACCGGAUAAUAUCUUGCACCGCAUGGUUCAAUAGUGAAAGACGGUUUUGCUGUCACUUAUAGAUGGAUCCGCGCCGCAUUAGCUAGUUGGUAAGGUAACGGCUUACCAAGGCAACGAUGCGUAGCCGACCUGUGAGGGGGAUCGGUCACACUGGAACUGAGACACGGUCCAGACUCCUACGGGAGGCAGCAGUAGGGAAUCUUACGCAAUGGGCGAAAGCCUGACGGAGCAACGCCGCGUGAGUGAUGAAGGUCUUCGGAUCGUAAAACUCUGUUAUUAGGGAAGAACAAAUGUGUAAGUAACUAUGCACGUCUUGACGGUACCUAAUCAGAAAGCCACGGCUAACUACGUG